GACGAACGCUGGCGGCGUGCUUAACACAUGCAAGUCGAACGGAAAGGCCCUGCUUUUGUGGGGUGCUCGAGUGGCGAACGGGUGAGUAACACGUGAGUAACCUGCCCUUGACUUUGGGAUAACUUCAGGAAACUGGGGCUAAUACCGGAUAGGAGCUCCUGCUGCAUGGUGGGGGUUGGAAAGUUUCGGCGUUUGGGGAUGGACUCGCGGCUUAUCAGCUUGUUGGUGGGGUAGUGGCUUACCAAGGCUUUGACGGGUAGCCGGCCUGAGAGGGUGACCGGCCACAUUGGUACUGAGAUACGGCCCAGACUCCUACGGGAGGCAGCAGUGGGGAAUAUUGCACAAUGGGCGGAAGCCUGAUGCAGCAACGCCGCGUGCGGGAUGACGGCCUUCGGGUUGUAAACCGCUUUCGCCUGUGACGAAGCGUGAGUGACGGUAAUGGGUAAAGAAGCACCGGCUAACUACGUG
This 468-nucleotide ribosomal RNA is filed under the name uncultured bacterium. RNAcentral's name for it is "partial 16S ribosomal RNA". It matches the Rfam family "Bacterial small subunit ribosomal RNA", at positions 28 to 507 of the family's 1533-position model. The record is from RNAcentral.